UCUUUAGUAAACGCGAUGUAUUGGCAGCUAGAUUUGGAGUGAAGUGAAUGUGAGUGAAGCUGGAAGCAGAUUCUGCAAGAAACCCAAAUGUUGGAGGGGGGUUUUCCAAGCGUCAGAGUCUUAGGUCUCUCAAUACCCCCUUUGACACUCGUGGCCACACUCUUCCGCCAUGCCCAUUACAGUGACUCACUCGGAACUGCUUGGGAAUCAGUGACUUGGGAGUUUUAGGAUGAAGCUUCUACCAACCUGAGUGUCUGAGUAAGAUGAGCAGAAUUCCCUCACCCACCAAUGCUAUGGAUCAAGUUAAAGAAUAAUCCUUGGUAAAUCUUGGCUGCGGGUGACUGAUGGAAGUUUCAGAGGCUGGACUGGAAGAUGAAACUGGGGCAAGAUGUUACACAGCAUGGCCUCAGGAACCUGAGCUCCAGCAACCUGCGGGUCCCAAUGGAGGCGAAGUCAAGGAGCGUCUCAGAGAGUGGUUGAUGUGUGAAGUCUCUGUCUGCCCAUCUGAAUAACAAGAGAUGGGGCUUGUGAUUUUCCUCCACGGACCCCUACCUGAGGGCCUCCAGGAGGAAUGACAUCUCAAACAGAAACCUGCAUAACAUCAGCCCAAACCAAGGACCCAUUUUAUCAUCAAAGAGGUGUGCCAUGAAUGCAUGACUGUGGGAUCCACUGCUUUGACCACAUAUGGAUGACUUGGAAGCUGCCAGCCUACAUGAACAAUGGAAAGG
Molecule: long non-coding RNA, 728 nt
Filed under: Homo sapiens (human)
Lineage: Eukaryota; Metazoa; Chordata; Mammalia; Primates; Hominidae
Description: HSALNT0273742
Source: RNAcentral